Eptesicus fuscus (big brown bat) is the source of this 1538-nucleotide long non-coding RNA. RefSeq lists it as uncharacterized. The transcript has 5 exons. The record is from RefSeq and is a predicted model, not a curated record. NCBI's taxonomy places the organism in Eukaryota, Metazoa, Chordata, Mammalia, Chiroptera, Vespertilionidae.
CUCUCCUGCUGACCCGCCUUGCAAAGAGUCCAAGAAGCUGAGAGGUGCCAAGCACCAGGUGUUUUCUUUUCACUCUGGUUUUGCCCAGCCUGGCAUGGCAGGCAGCAGAGUUAUUUUGCUUUUAUAAGCCAUAUUAUAUAACUAAGAUUUUGAACAGCGAUGCUGAGCCAACUUAGAGGUCAUAAUCAAAGAAAUGGAGAGAGAUUUAGGAAAGAGAGCAAGGAAGGAGAAGGAGAAGGGAGAGAAAAAAAAAUAGAGGGGAUAGUGGAGACAGAGGGAGACCAUUUCAUUUGUACUACCUGCUCAUAUGUUCUUGGUCUCCCGUGACAGGAUAUGCAACCUGGAAAGUUCUUUAGCCCUCCUUUUAACUGGCAAGGGGCAGCCUUGAGUUCACAGUCUGUGGAGGAGCUCGCUGAGUGCCAGCUGCCUGCAGGCAUCACCCCAGCGCCCAUUGGAGUCCCUGUUGGAGACUGCAGCAGCCUGGUGUGGUGCAGUACUCAGUGUUCCUUGUGGAAAACAAACAAACAAGACAUUGUCUCCACUCACCCAGCCUCCGUGCUGACUACAUGAGCUGAGAUGCCUGCCAGCCUGGCUGUAAUUCCAGAGGAGAUAGAAAUAGCAGAGCUCAUGGCUCCAACUUCCGUCCUCUCUUUGGCCUGAAGUCUUUCUGCACAGAUGCCGGAGUUUUAAUUCCUUUCAUUGCCUUGGCUACCUCAAGCCCCCUCCUGGGGUGAUGGAACUUCGUCAGAGCAUCAGGAUUGGGCUGGCAUGCUUUCCAGAGGCUGUGGUCUAGAGAAACACAUGAGAACAUUUCAUUAUCUCCUUAGGAGGUACAGUCAGAAUGUCAUUGUCCCUCCUGUUUCCUUCAAGCCAAGUGACCCCACCAAAGGAAGUCAUGUGAUUUAACCCCUCACCACCAUCUCCAUCAACUCUACUUGCCCCCAACCCCAUCAUAUAAUCUAAAGAAAAGCACUGUGCUUGCUAACUCCAGAGAGUAAACCCGCUCCACACACACUGCUACAGCCUAGAAAACUCCUGGAGUUAAGCUGAACUUGCUCAAGGAUGAACACCUGAAAUAGUUUCCACAAAUGCUGCUAAUGUGCUGGGCCAUGGAGCCCAGAUACUUGAUCAAACAUUAUUCUGGAUGUUCCUGUGAAGAUGUUUUUGGAGGAGAUUAACAUUUACAUUGGUGGACUUGGAGUAAAGCAAUUUACCCUUAAUAAUGGAGGCUGGCUUCAUCCAGUCUGUUGAAGGCCUUAAUGAAACAGAUUGACUUCCCGUGAGCAAGGCUCAAAUUGCAGUUCUUCCUGAAUCUCCAGCUGCUGGCCUACCCCAUCAGAUUCUGGGCUCACCCAGCUUCCACAAUCACGUGCCUUCCUCAACAUUUUCGAAGCCCACACAAAUGCUCACACCAGCUUGUGGACUCCAUCUACCCGGUCCAGAAGCAAAAGCAACACGAUGUGUGAGCCGUUUGUUUUUCUUGAAGUCUGCCUGCGAAGGUUGGAGCGGCUGGACGGGACACAGAAGCCUGAGGGACA